AGAGUUUGAUCCUGGCUCAGAACGAACGCUGGCGGCAGGCUUAACACAUGCAAGUCGAGCGCCCCGCAAGGGGAGCGGCAGACGGGUGAGUAACACGUGGGAACAUACCCUUCGGUUCGGAAUAACUCAGGGAAACUUGAGCUAAUACCGGAUACGUUCGCGAGAAGAAAGAUUUAUCGCCGAAGGAUUGGCCCGCGUCC
Molecule: ribosomal RNA, 200 nt
Filed under: uncultured bacterium
Lineage: Bacteria
Description: partial 16S ribosomal RNA
Rfam family: Bacterial small subunit ribosomal RNA
Source: RNAcentral